RNAcentral lists this transfer-messenger RNA (348 nucleotides) under Eubacteriales. RNAcentral describes it as "HGM12619 sp017621705 Standard tmRNA". It matches the Rfam family "transfer-messenger RNA". From Rfam's summary of the family: Bacterial tmRNA, also known as 10Sa RNA or SsrA, is named for its dual tRNA and mRNA-like properties. Lineage: Bacteria; Bacillati; Bacillota; Clostridia. The record is from RNAcentral. RNAcentral also lists the same sequence under 1 other name.
GGGGGCGUACCGGAUUUCGACGGGGAUUUUGAAGUAGGAUAAGCGAGCAGCGCGCAGACCGCUAUAACCUGCAAACUUUUUAAAUUUAAACGCUAACAGAAAUCAGUUAGUUGCUGCCUAACUAAAGGCGGCCGUCUCUGCCGGGAGUACCGCGGCUUGGACAGAGGCGUCGAUUAGCGGUGAACGUUAACCGAGCGAUUGCCGUAACUCGGUAACGGCCAACGGCAUGUUCCGUAAUGAGAUUUGCUUAUUGUUCUCCUUGCGGCGAAAACGAACAACAAGCUACGCUCGUAGAAAGUCCCAUGGAUGAGUUUUCGGACAGGGGUUCAACUCCCCUCGCCUCCACCA